Molecule: long non-coding RNA, 2480 nt
Organism: Triticum aestivum (bread wheat)
Lineage: Eukaryota; Viridiplantae; Streptophyta; Magnoliopsida; Poales; Poaceae
Exons: 2
Source: RefSeq, a predicted model, not a curated record
AGUACCCUCGCGACCUGGUUCCACCUCCCCUCGCAGCCUUCCAAAUAAAAAAAAACAAGACCCACGUCCCGUCUCCCAGUCUCCCCCACCUCUCUCUCCCGAUCCAUCCUCUCGAUCUCGCGAGAAAAAUCGCCACCUCGCCUCCGCCACUGCAACAACCGUCGCUUCCAUAGACUACGUCGACAGCGUCUUAGAAGGUUGACCCCUGCGGGGAAGUUGGCGGGAGCUCGCGGCCGACCAGAUCCAGUGCAGCGCCGCCGAUGUCUGGGUGGAAGAUGAGCGCGAGCUUUCGGGGUCAGCAUACCGCCGGGGAGGAGGGCAGACGGAUGAGAGGGAGGCUCUCCAAGGAGGAAGCCGACCAGCUUGUCACCAGGGGAAGCCGACCAGCAUAUAUAUAGGCAUGGUUGUCGUUCACAGAGAUCGUUAGUUUUGAUUUAUUUUUUUCUGAUUGGUUUUUGCCCCAUAACGUCUCCUUCUUCUGCUAAUAGCUAGCCAUGGUCUCGAUCUAUUGGUGGUUCGUGAUGGAUGACUAUCCUUUGUUUUUCUUGAUUGGAUUUGGUGUAGGGGUGGACUAUCUUUGAGAUCCUGCGGUACAUGUCGGAGCAUAACUGGUCGGUGUACGAGGAGGCCCUCAAGGCCAAUCCGGUUCUUGGCAAGAUGAUGAUCAUCAGCGUCGUCUACUCCCUCGGCGACUGGAUAGCCCAGCCCAGGGUGCUCGAGCGCGACGACACGCCUACUGAGUUCCUAGCGCUCGCGAACGCCGGAGUUGGACGCGCCCAUGCAUGCAUUUUAGAUCCGAGGACGGCAUCGUGAACGUAAGCACUCAGUUGCUCCUCAGCAGCAGUUGAUCCACCUGGGGUUCUACUUGAGUUCCUCCGUCCCCUGGCAGCGAGGCAGCAGGUCCCCGUCCCCCCUCUCCGUCUCCGGCAUGUUGAUCCCGGUGGCGUCACAGCGGUGGCAUGUGUGGUGUCAUGUCAUAAUAAGGUAGCAUCUGUUCUUUCCCCACCCUAAUUUUUGUGGUCAGCAUCCGGAGCCCAACCUACCAAUCGUUGUCCCCAAACCUCACUGACUUCUUAUGUGGGUGCUCUUUCUUCCCCCUCUCUCGUUUCACUUGACGCUGAUAGCUGAUUGCUAGAAUCCUCGGUUGUGCUCUUGUCUUCUAAAUUUGGCAUGGUAUGCAUUUGCUUGAGAUGAGGGUAUGGGAUGGAGGUGGCAAUAAUUUCGAGGUUGUGGUUUAUUGGGCUUAUAAUUUCGACAUGAUUAAUGAUAUGAACCGUAUGUUCAGUUUUCCACAAUAUUGGUUUUUUCUAUGCAAUAUGAGGCUAUGUUUCAAGUUAUUAUUAUCUAUUGCCUUGCAUUCGAUGGCUGUACAGUAACAUGCUCUCUGAGAAAAGGUUAUGUUUCAUGUUAUUAUUAUCUAUUGCCUUGCAUUCGAUGGCAAAUUGACAACCGAUGUCAUAUCUUUGCCCACUCAUGAUGCCGAUAAAUAGUUCAAAAAAAUUAGAAAGACGUAUAUAUUUCACUGUGCUAGCUACGUAUGUUUAUAAUGGUUUAUUUUCACCAAAAUUUUGCUGCACUUUGACAGUAGACUAUGUGAUAAUUUGUAACAGAGUUCAGAGAAACUGGGCAACACACAGUUCCAAAAGUGUGCACUACACAUGGAAGAAAACACUGUAGUAUUAGCUGUUGUAAUCUACGAAAUUUUGUACUGCGUGAGUGAGGUUAAGAAUGGCUAACUGAUUGAACUUGUUCACAACAUUAACAGUAAUCAUGAUGAACUUAGUAUUCCUGACUUUCUAUUUCAUGUUGUUUUCUACUGUAGACCUAUUUGCAGGUUUUUACAGAGGAAUUAGUUUAGGUGUUACUGGUUCACUUGCUACAUCUGAAACGUAUUUUGUUGUUAUUGUUACUGAAUCAACUAAGACAUGGCUGGAGCACACUAAUCCUAAUCUAAGAGGCCAUUUCUCUCACUUAUUUGCUGGAGGAGUUAAGAGAGAAAAUAUUUUUUAUGACUAUUGUGUUUUCUUUCCAGAAAAUCUGCAUGACGCGGCGUAAAAUUUAUACUGGUUCUCAGCAUGUUACUAGGAUCUAGCUGCACAAAUGGAUUUUUGUAUGUCCUGCAUGCAUUGUUGAGGAAAUUGUUAACUGGUAGUUGUUCGGUUGGCUGGUGAGUAGGGGAUUAAUCGGCUAAUCGGCAAGUUAAUCGGCCAUUUAAUCAACUAAUCGGACGAUUUAUCGGUUUAUAGGCUACUCGGUGACCCUACGAGUAGGGAUUAAUCGGCAAGUUAACUGGUUAAUCGGAUGAAUUCUUGAACAGGGCCUGCAUGGAGUUCUCAAAAAGUUAUUCCUUGUCAUUUUGUAGUGCCACCAAUACAUUGGGUCUUUGUAUAUUAAAACCUUUCUGGUCUCUGUUUUGGCUCAUGUAAUACUUACCGAUACGAUUUACUUGUUCAUCAGAAUAAUGUGUUGAUUCCUUGACA